Molecule: ribosomal RNA, 253 nt
Filed under: uncultured bacterium
Lineage: Bacteria
Description: partial 16S ribosomal RNA
Rfam family: Bacterial small subunit ribosomal RNA
Source: RNAcentral
GCAAGUCGAACGAGAAAGUACCUUCGGGUGCGAGUACAGUGGCGGACGGGUGAGUAACGCGUAGGAAUAUACCUAGUAGUGGGGGACAACUCGGGGAAACUCGAGCUAAUACCGCAUACGCUCCUCUUCAUUGAGGAGGAAAGUGGGGGAUCUUCGGACCUCACGCUAUCAGAGUAGCCUGCGUUGGAUUAGCUAGUUGGUGGGGUAAAGGCUCACCAAGGCGACGAUCCAUAGCUGGUCUGAGAGGAUGAUC